This 242-nucleotide unclassified non-coding RNA is filed under the name uncultured fungus. RNAcentral's name for it is "sequence contains ITS1, 5.8S rRNA gene". The stretch from base 194 to 242 matches the Rfam family "5.8S ribosomal RNA", at positions 1 to 49 of the family's 154-position model. The record is from RNAcentral. Lineage: Eukaryota; Fungi.
UUUCCGUAGGUGAACCUGCGGAAGGAUCAUUACCGAGUAUCGGGUGCUCUCGCGCCCUGCUCCCACCCCAUGUUGACUUGCAACCGUUGCUUUGGCGGGCCGGUGGGUCACCCACCGCCUGGAGAGCGCCCGCCAGAGGACCAAACAAAACUCUUAUCAACCUGUCGCGUCUGAGCGAGCGAGAAUUGACUAAAACUUUCAACAACGGAUCUCUUGGUUCUGGCAUCGAUGAAGAACGCAGC